This 465-nucleotide ribosomal RNA is filed under the name uncultured bacterium. RNAcentral's name for it is "partial 16S ribosomal RNA". It matches the Rfam family "Bacterial small subunit ribosomal RNA", at positions 28 to 507 of the family's 1533-position model. The record is from RNAcentral.
GAUGAACGCUGGCGGCGUGCUUAACACAUGCAAGUCGAACGGAAAGGCCCAAGCUUGCUUGGGUACUCGAGUGGCGAACGGGUGAGUAACACGUGGGGGAUCUGCCCUUCACUUCGGGAUAAGCCUGGGAAACUGGGUCUAAUACCGGAUAGGACCACAUUUUGGAUGGUGUGGUGGAAAGUUUUUCGGUGUGGGAUGAGCUCGCGGCCUAUCAGCUGGUUGGUGGGGUAAUGGGCUACGAAGGCGUCGACGGAUAGCCGGCCCGAGAGGGUGUACGGCCACAUUGGGACUGCGAUACGGAGCAGAAUCCUACGGGAGGCAGCAGUGGGGAAUAUUGCACAAUGGGGGCAAGCCUGAUGCAGCGACGCCGCGUGGGGGAUGCCGGCCUUCGGGUUGUAAACUCCUUUCGCUAGGGACGAAGAGCAAGUGACGGUACCUGGAGAAGAAGCACCGGCUAACUACGUG